This 226-nucleotide ribosomal RNA is filed under the name Vibrio sp. D173a. Its description in RNAcentral is "partial 16S ribosomal RNA". It matches the Rfam family "Bacterial small subunit ribosomal RNA", at positions 1 to 215 of the family's 1533-position model. The record is from RNAcentral. Lineage: Bacteria; Pseudomonadati; Pseudomonadota; Gammaproteobacteria; Vibrionales; Vibrionaceae.
AAAUUGAAGAGUUUGAUCAUGGCUCAGAUUGAACGCUGGCGGCAGGCCUAACACAUGCAAGUCGAGCGGAAACGAGUUAUCUGAACCUUCGGGGAACGAUAACGGCGUCGAGCGGCGGACGGGUGAGUAAUGCCUAGGAAAUUGCCCUGAUGUGGGGGAUAACCAUUGGAAACGAUGGCUAAUACCGCAUAACGCCUACGGGCCAAAGAGGGGGACCUUCGGGCCU